CACCCAAAGUGCUGGGAUUACAGACAUGAGCCACCGAGCCAGGCCGGUACCUGUUUUCUUGACAGCAUCGGACUGUAUGGGAAAUCUGUCUGCUAUCAGAGAAUUUAAAAUGUAAGCACUUCCAAAGAAACCUGAAGUUAUCCUGAGAACAAACGUCACUGCCAUGGAAACACCUCCUCCACGUUCCCGAUGGUGCACUGGUUUUCUUUCCUGUCUGACCAACAAGCCUCUGGAGAGUGGCCACCAUCUUACAGGCUCACUUUGUAUUCUGUAAACUUUCAGUUGGAAAAUAAACACA
Molecule: long non-coding RNA, 298 nt
Filed under: Homo sapiens (human)
Lineage: Eukaryota; Metazoa; Chordata; Mammalia; Primates; Hominidae
Description: HSALNT0405270
Source: RNAcentral